GAGUGCAGGACUUUCCAACUGUUGUUGAAAACCCUUAUGGCAUAACUAGUGCGUACGGAAGUACACAUAAGUGGACUAAACGCAGUAUAUUUUGGGAUCUACUAUAUUGGAAAGCCCAUCUUAUUCAUCAUAAUCUUGACGUCAUGCACAUUGAAAAGAAUGUUUUCGACAAUGUCAUAAAUACUGUGAUGGAUGUCACAGGAAAAACAAAAGACAACUUGAAUGCAAGAAAAGAUAUGAGAGAUAUUUGUGAUCGGCCAACAUUAGAUGUGGAUGCAAGCAAGCAGGGGAUCAAAACCAAAAGCAGUUUAUACAUUGGAUAAGGAGCAGAGACGAGUCGUUUGUCAAUGGUUGAAAUCUGUACGGUUUCCUGAUGGAUAUGCUUCGAACAUCGGGAGAUGUGUUGAUUUGAACGAAUGCAAGUUGACAGGAUUAAAGAGUCAUGAUUGUCACAUAUUUAUGGAAAGACUAAUUCCAAUAGCUUUCAAGGAACUUCUACCAAACUUUGUAUGGGGCGCCAUUACAGAGUUAAGUAAUUUCCUUCAUGAUAUUUGCUCAACAGUGUUAAAAGCAUCACACAUGGAGAAACUGGAGAGAGACAUUCCAAUUAUUCUUUGCAACUUAGAAAUGAUAUUUCCUCCAUCGUUUUUUGAUUUAAUGGAGCAUCUCUUAGUUCACUUGCCUUAUGAGGCCAAAGUUGCAGGUCCCGUCCAAUUUCGAUGGAUGUAUCCAUUUGAGAGGUGAAAAUUUUUUCAAAAUAAAUUUCAAAAUACUUUAUUAUAUAUUAUGUUCUGAUAAACUUCUUUCUAUUGCAACAAGGUUCUUAUAUUAUUUGAAGAAAAAAGUGAAGAACAAGGCAUGUGUUGAAGCUUCAAUUUGUAAUGCAUAUAUUGUGGAAAAAGUGACAACAUUUGCAUCAUACUAUUUUGAGCCGCACGUGCAGUGCAAGAGGCGGAGAGCAGGAAGAAAUGAUGAGGGUCACAUCGAUCCCAAUUGCAAAUCAUUCUCUAUUUUCAAUUAUCUCGGUCGACCAAGCGGCGCAUGUAAGUUUCGUUGCUUAACAGGCGAAGAACGGCAGACAGCCUAUACAUAUAUUUUACUAAACUGUCCAGAAGUGGAGCCAUACUUCGAGAUUUUUCAAAAUUCAAUGUAUGGACUACUACCAAAUGAGUUUGACCGUUUGUGCGAUGAACAAUUUGCAGCAUGGUUCAAAACAUAUGUUCACAGUAAUCAUGAUCAAGUUGAAGAGCAAAGAUUGUUAUAUUAUCUAUCAUGGGGUCCAUAGUCAAGCAUACGAACUUGGCCAGCAUAUUUCAUAAACGGGUAUAAUUUUCACACUCAAGAAUAUGGAAUGGGAAAAGCCACAAUGAAUAGUGGUAUGUGUGUUCGGUCAUCCAAUUGUGGUAGUUCAAAAGAUGAUUUUUAUGGCUUGUUGGAUGAAAUCAUCGAGAUAGAGUACCCCGGACCAUUAAUGCGGGUUGUGUUAUUUAAGUGCAUGUGGUUCAACCCCGUCAAAGGAAUGAAGGUGCAUACGAAGUUUAAUUUGGUUGAAAUAAAUCACAAGAAAAGGUAUAUGAAAUAUGAGCCAUUUGUGUUGGCACAAUAAGCAAUUCAAGUAUAUUAUGCAUCAUAUCCUAAUUUGAAACGUGACAAAGCUGAUUGGUGGGCUGUAUGUAAAAUCAAAGCACGAAGAAAAAUCGAGGAACACUGGAAGGAUACAGCAUAUUAACAAGAGGAAGUUUGUAACGCGGUUCAAACUGAGGAAUAUAACAUUCUUACUCUACGAGAUCCAUGUGGAGCAAUGAUAGAUGUAGAUCUAACUGAAAUUCGCGAAUCAAAUUUAGAAGGUGUUGCGGAAUCUGAUUUUGAGACAGAGGAUGAUGAGGAUGAUGAUGAUGAUGAUGAUGAUGAUGAUGAUGACGACGACGACGAUGAUGCUCAAGAAGAAGAUCAAGAUCAAG
Long non-coding RNA from Syzygium oleosum, 1961 nucleotides. RefSeq lists it as uncharacterized. The transcript is spliced from 3 exons. NCBI's taxonomy places the organism in Eukaryota, Viridiplantae, Streptophyta, Magnoliopsida, Myrtales, Myrtaceae. The record is from RefSeq and is a predicted model, not a curated record.